AUUCAGCCGAAGAGUCCCAAAUAGGACGAAGUGUGCACCAUGAAU
This 45-nucleotide non-coding RNA is filed under the name Trichobilharzia regenti. The record is from RNAcentral. Lineage: Eukaryota; Metazoa; Platyhelminthes; Trematoda; Strigeidida; Schistosomatidae.